RNAcentral lists this ribosomal RNA (436 nucleotides) under Salmonella enterica. RNAcentral describes it as "partial 23S ribosomal RNA". It matches the Rfam family "Bacterial large subunit ribosomal RNA", at positions 2368 to 2803 of the family's 2925-position model. Lineage: Bacteria; Pseudomonadati; Pseudomonadota; Gammaproteobacteria; Enterobacterales; Enterobacteriaceae. The record is from RNAcentral.
CUUGACUGCGAGCGUGACGGCGCGAGCAGGUGCGAAAGCAGGUCAUAGUGAUCCGGUGGUUCUGAAUGGAAGGGCCAUCGCUCAACGGAUAAAAGGUACUCCGGGGAUAACAGGCUGAUACCGCCCAAGAGUUCAUAUCGACGGCGGUGUUUGGCACCUCGAUGUCGGCUCAUCACAUCCUGGGGCUGAAGUAGGUCCCAAGGGUAUGGCUGUUCGCCAUUUAAAGUGGUACGCGAGCUGGGUUUAGAACGUCGUGAGACAGUUCGGUCCCUAUCUGCCGUGGGCGCUGGAGAACUGAGGGGGGCUGCUCCUAGUACGAGAGGACCGGAGUGGACGCAUCACUGGUGUUCGGGUUGUCAUGCCAAUGGCACUGCCCGGUAGCUAAAUGCGGAAGAGAUAAGUGCUGAAAGCAUCUAAGCACGAAACUUGCCCCGAG